Long non-coding RNA from Zingiber officinale, 1248 nucleotides. RefSeq lists it as uncharacterized. The record is from RefSeq and is a predicted model, not a curated record. NCBI's taxonomy places the organism in Eukaryota, Viridiplantae, Streptophyta, Magnoliopsida, Zingiberales, Zingiberaceae. The transcript is spliced from 2 exons.
GCAUUAGCACAAUAGUUUAAUGGAUUCAUUAAUGAAAUAUUUGUCAUAGUUUGACGCUGGCUGGCAACCUAACGCAACCCUCCUCCUUUAUCCGGGCUUGGGACCGGCCAUGACCGGUCAUCAUGGACGGAGUUAUUAAAAGUAAAUGGAACACAUCAGAAUGAAUUAUUGGUUAACUUUUUAUUUUGAGUUUGAUUCAUAAUUUAACUUUGGAGAUAUGUUAGUUUAGUUUAAAUAUAUUUAAUGACAAACUAAUGUCUAAAUAAUUAAUUUAAAUUCAUAGUUCAUAGCAAUAAAACCCGUGAAACUGUUUGAAACUUUCAAAAAUACAUUUGGAUGGGAAUAUUAACUCAAUUGGAAUUGGACUUUAGACGCAGCGGUUAGAGCACAAUGAGCUAAUAAUGCAUUAUGACAUUCGGAGGAGAUAAUGAUGCGCGCGCCAGUACAGUAUUUUUCUGCUUGCUUUUUUUUUAUCAGUUUUGAUUACAUGUAUUGAUAAUGGUCCGAUGUAUUGUUGUAUCACCCUUUGCACUACACUGACUUUUCAGUUAACGUUUAGUUUGCACUUAAUAGUAUGUUUGCAUGCUUUGGAGUUUAUAUUUGUUGCAAUCAGUUGUCUAUUGCAAUACAUUUAUGCAGAAGAGUCAUACUGAUUGUUAUUAUCGAAUUUGUUUAACAUUGCGACACAAGCUUUAUUCAGGAUUGGUCAUGACGAACCACCACCGUUCUAUUGUUGGAGCAUCCAUUUGUAAAAAGACCGCUGCAAGUCUAAAUUCAUCUUCAAUCAACAACGAGAAAUUAUUCAGUUAGAUGACAUUAGUGGCCUCAAAUACUCCAAGUGAAAUAAAGAUCUAUUUCCAAAGAAUGGAGUAAAUAGAGAACAAAUUAGGAAUAAUUGUUCUAUAGUUUAUAGAAUUGAUGUGAAAUAGCUGUUCUUACAUUUCUUCUUUGAGAAUGUUAUAAAGAAUAGAAGAACAGUCCAUCAUAGCUCUUCAGCUUUAGCAAUCUAUGGUUACAACUAUUGAGCAGUGUGUCAAGCACAUCGGGCAUGAUGCAUAGAAACAUCUCAAGAUUAGCUUGGGAGGAUACAUGCAUUUUCAUGGAAUAUAAUAUAUGAAUAUUGACUUAAUGUGUAUCUCUACGAUAUCUAUUAGUUUUUUAUGUUGUAAGAAAAAUAUUUAUGUAUUGUUUACAUCGGUGGAUAUUGACUUGGUGUGUUUAAAUAUAUCGGUGUAUUUUUAUUUGUAA